UACGUAGGGUGCAAGCGUUGUUCGGAAUCAUUGGGCGUAAAGCGCGUGUAGGCGGUUUGUUAAGUCGAUUGUGAAAUCCCUGGGCUCAACCGAGGAAGUGCAGUCGAAACUAACAAGCUAGAGGACGGCAGAGGAUGGUGGAAUUCCAAGUGUAGAGGUGAAAUUCGUAGAUAUUUGGAGGAAUACCGGUGGCGAAGGCGGCCAUCUGGACCGGUCCUGACGCUGAGACGCGAAAGCGUGGGGAGCAAACAGG
Molecule: ribosomal RNA, 253 nt
Filed under: uncultured bacterium
Lineage: Bacteria
Description: partial 16S ribosomal RNA
Rfam family: Bacterial small subunit ribosomal RNA
Source: RNAcentral